Long non-coding RNA from Strigops habroptila (Kakapo), 1127 nucleotides. RefSeq lists it as uncharacterized. NCBI's taxonomy places the organism in Eukaryota, Metazoa, Chordata, Aves, Psittaciformes, Psittacidae. The record is from RefSeq and is a predicted model, not a curated record. The transcript has 4 exons.
CAUUUUCUUGGGUGUUUGAUUCACUGUCACGGAGUAUUCUGUUUAAAACACAGCUCCACAGACAGCAGAAACGACUUGUGCUUGGUUUCCUGUGGCUGCCUGCUGCGUGCUUCCUCAUGUGUCUACUGAUUUGGUUCAUCUCUGAAGGAAGCCUUCCUCAGCAGAGUACUAAUUUGGGUUGGUUUCCUCUAGUCUGGUUACAUUCAUUCAUGGUAAUUGUAAGAAUACAGUACCUCUAUGAGCUCUGCCUCUAAGCUGAACUUGACGGAAGGUGGCAACAGCAGGAUUGACAGGCAGUAAUAUCAUGUAAUUCCUGCUUCCUUAGGAAACCCGGCUGAAAUGAAUACCAAACUGCAUCAGUCAAGCACUUGAUAGAUGGAAUAAGAACUGGCUAACGGACCACACAAAAGAAGUUCCUGGAAAAUCAGGCUUUCUGCAGCUCAGGGUGCAGAGCAGUGCUUAUUCAACAGCUUCCCUGAAGUUCUGGAGGCAAAUAAAACUACUUCCAGGUGAACUGGUGCCAUGCGGCUGUCAGAUCGCUGCCAGCUCCGGCAGCAGCAUGGGGAGCCUGUGACAGCCAGGUCUGAACCCUCACUGCUGGACCACUGCUAGUGACCAGGAUCAGAGCAGGGCAUGAGUUUGAGAGAGGAGAUGGAGACUGCAGAAUAAGCUCAUUUCAUGUCAGCGUGGCAAUGUCUCAGUCAUCCCACUCACUGCUGUCACCUGAGGACAUCUACCCGAGAGCUCUGCCAGCUCAACUGCUUCCAGGGAUGCUCUGGGUGAGGUUCUGGGAUGCUCAGUGUGUGGAUGUGCCGCACUUUUUGAUUCCACUCCUUCUACAACCUCUUUGCAGAGGUCAAGCACACUAUCACACUAAGAAAAUAACAUGCACCAGCAGCAUAGCAGAGACACUGUCUGGGAACAGACACCGUGGACGGUGGCUUUGAGACAAGCCUGUCUAUAGCUCAUUAUCUGAUUGCAAUGAACGUGGGCAGCAGAGCACUGAGACACUCUACAGCUCCCUCACCAACUCCCGGCACCCAGAACACUUGACUCAGGUCUCAGAAAACAUUAUGCUGUCCAAAAAUAAUGAGAUUUUAAAAAUUAAUAAACUCCAGCUCUGUUUA